GGCUGAUUUGCUUUAAUUUUUUAUGAGUUAAAUUAAGUAUUUUAUGAAUAAUUGUGAGGUUUUAUUGUUAAAAUUAUUUAUAGACUAAAAUAUUUUUUAAUGUGGUGUUAUUUAUUAAACAAGAAUUAGAUACUCUUUUAUAUUUAAUUUUAUUUGUGUAUUCUCAGUUUUAACUGAAAGAAAUUGGCAGCCGAUUAUAUCCUGCUAGGGGAGUGUGUAUUUUAAUAGAUGUUCCGCUUAUAAUUUUACUAUGAUUAUUUUGUUAGUGUAUAUCCGGUUUAGUUAUAUAAAAUGAAUGUUUUGUGUAUAAAGAAGUUUUUAAUCCAGGUCAAUAUGCUGCUUAUGUUAUAGGUAAUAUUCGCUACAGUAUAAUAUUAUAGAGUGAAAUGCUUGUUAGUUUUGGGACUUAGCAGUAUUAUGAGAUUUUAAGUAGUUCAUGAGAAUAAGGUUUAGUUGGGGCACACAUCGCCCGUCAUCUUCGAUUUUUAGUU
This 491-nucleotide ribosomal RNA is filed under the name Polystoma sp. OV-2015b. RNAcentral's name for it is "partial 12S ribosomal RNA". The record is from RNAcentral. Lineage: Eukaryota; Metazoa; Platyhelminthes; Monogenea; Polystomatidea; Polystomatidae.